This 115-nucleotide ribosomal RNA is filed under the name Candidatus Planktophila sp. Lineage: Bacteria; Bacillati; Actinomycetota; Actinomycetes; Candidatus Nanopelagicales; Candidatus Nanopelagicaceae. The record is from RNAcentral.
CGGCGGCCUUAGCAUAGGGGAACACCCGGUCCCAUUUCGAACCCGGAAGUUAAGCCCUAUAGCGUCGAUGGUACUGCAAGGGGGACCUUGUGGGAGAGUAGAUCGCCGCCGGACU